AAAGAAAGAUUAAUACCGGAUGGCAUAAUUAUUCCGCAUGGGAUAAUUAUUAAAGAAUUUCGGUUGUCGAUGGGGAUGCGUUCCAUUAGGCAGUUGGCGGGGUAACGGCCCACCAAACCUACGAUGGAUAGGGGUUCUGAGAGGAAGGUCCCCCACAUUGGAACUGAGACACGGUCCAAACUCCUACGGGAGGCAGCAGUGAGGAAUAUUGGUCAAUGGACGAGAGUCUGAACCAGCCAAGUAGCGUGAAGGAUGACUGCCCUAUGGGUUGUAAACUUCUUUUAUACGGGAAUAAAGUUAGCCACGUGUGGCUUUUUGUAUGUACCGUAUGAAUAAGGAUCGGCUAACUCCGUGCCAGCAGCCGCGGUAAUACGGAGGAUCCGAGCGUUAUCCGGAUUUAUUGGGUUUAAAGGGAGCGUAGGCGGGUUGUUAAGUCAGUUGUGAAAGUUUGCGGCUCAACCGUAAAAUUGCAGUUGAUACUGGCGACCUUGAGUGCAACA
RNAcentral lists this ribosomal RNA (500 nucleotides) under uncultured bacterium. RNAcentral describes it as "bacterial SSU rRNA". It matches the Rfam family "Bacterial small subunit ribosomal RNA", at positions 154 to 653 of the family's 1533-position model. The record is from RNAcentral.